Molecule: long non-coding RNA, 550 nt
Organism: Pogoniulus pusillus (Red-fronted tinkerbird)
Lineage: Eukaryota; Metazoa; Chordata; Aves; Piciformes; Lybiidae
Exons: 5
Source: RefSeq, a predicted model, not a curated record
GCUGCAGAUGGGAGAGGCACAUGAUGGGAGCUGGAGGUGCUGCGGCUGCAGACCUGCAGCAAGAAUGGUCCUGCCAGGCCCCUUGGGAGAUCUGGGAUGGGUGGCUGUGCCCUGCCCCAUGGCCACCAGCGUGGGACCUCUGGGAGGCACCCCAGACCCGUGUCAAUGCUGGUGGUGUCUGGUUAGCUCUGACCUGGCAACUGCUGCCUGUGCUGACCAGCAGCCCCAGAUGUCAAGGCAGAGAAUCCAUCUCCUGUGCUCAUCCUAGGCAAGUUUUGCAUCACACUCAGAAAGAAAGAAAGAAAGAAAAAUCUUCAGCUGCUGCAAGUGAGGGGAAGCAAAGCAAAGGGAGAAAGAAACCUCUCACUCCUGGAGCCCUGGCGGGUUCUGCAGGCACAGGGGCAGAGGAACCCUCAUGCUUCCUUGGCCUGGAGAAGCUGCCAAGGGCUGGAGGGAGCUCCUGGAUGGCAGCAGUGAUGCAGGAGCAGUGGGACCAGCUCUGGAACCUGCAUCCCCACCGUGCAGGUGAGCAUCACACUGGGAGUCUGAC